CCUACGGGCGGCAGCAGUGGGGAAUAUUGCACAAUGGGCGCAAGCCUGAUGCAGCCAUGGCGCGUGUAUGAGGAAGGCCUUCGGGUUGUAAAGUCCUUUCAGCGGGGAGGAAGGCGAUAAGGUAAAUAACCUUGUCGAUUGACGUUACCCGCAGAAGAAGCACCGGCUAACUCCGUGCCAGCAGCCGCGGUAAUACGGAGAGUGCAAGCGUUAAUCGGAAUUACUGGGCGUAAAGCGCACGCAGGCGGUCUGUCAAGUCGGAUGUGAAAUCCCCGGGCUCGACCUGGGAACUGCAUUCGAAACUGGCAGGCUGGAGUCUUGUAGAGGGGGGUAGAAUUCCAGGUGUAGCGGUGAAAUGCGUAGAGAUCUGGAGGAAUACCGGUGGCGAAGGCGGCCCCCUGGACAAAGACUGACGCUCAGGUGCGAAAGCGUGGGGAGCAAACAGGAUUAGAUACCCUAGUAGUC
RNAcentral lists this ribosomal RNA (465 nucleotides) under uncultured bacterium. Its description in RNAcentral is "bacterial SSU rRNA". It matches the Rfam family "Bacterial small subunit ribosomal RNA", at positions 338 to 795 of the family's 1533-position model. The record is from RNAcentral.